RNAcentral lists this unclassified non-coding RNA (329 nucleotides) under soil metagenome. RNAcentral describes it as "partial contains 5.8S ribosomal RNA, internal transcribed spacer 2, and large subunit ribosomal RNA". The stretch from base 1 to 120 matches the Rfam family "5.8S ribosomal RNA", at positions 35 to 154 of the family's 154-position model. The record is from RNAcentral.
GAUGAAGAACGCAGCGAAAUGCGAUAAGUAAUGUGAAUUGCAGAAUUCAGUGAAUCAUCGAAUCUUUGAACGCACAUUGCGCCCCUUGGUAUUCCGAGGGGCAUGCCUGUUCGAGCGUCAUUAUAACCCCUCAAGCUUAGCUUGGUGUUGGGGCCUGCUGUAAUAGAGCAGCCCAUAAAAUCAGUGGCGGUGCCAUUAGGCUCUAAGCGUAGUAAUUCUUCUCGCUAUAGGGUUCUGGUGGAUGCUUGCCAUUAACCUCUAAUUUUCUAUGGUUGACCUCGGAUCAGGUAGGGAUACCCGCUGAACUUAAGCAUAUCAAUAAGCGAGGA